AGUCUAUUCAGAGGAACCUGUCCUAUAAUCGAUAAUCCACGAGUUUAUUUACUUAUUUUUAUAUUUGCAUAUCGUCGUAGGUUGAAUAUUUCAUAAUGAAUAUAUGAAUAUUCAAGAUUUUAGUAAAAAAAGAAUUCAGAUCAAGGUGUAGUUUAUAGAUAAGAAGAGAUGGGUUACAAUGAUUAUAUUUAAACUGAAGAUUUUUUUAAUAAAAUUUUAAAGGUGGAUUUGAUAGUAAUUUUAAAAAUAUAUUUAAAAUGAUUUUAGCUCUAAAAUAUGUACAUAUCGCCCGUCGCUUUCAUUCUAAAGUGGAAUAAGUCGUAACAAAGUAGGUGUACCGGAAGGUGUCCCUAGAAACAU
Molecule: ribosomal RNA, 360 nt
Filed under: Sirocalodes umbrinus
Lineage: Eukaryota; Metazoa; Arthropoda; Insecta; Coleoptera; Curculionidae
Description: partial 12S ribosomal RNA
Source: RNAcentral